RNAcentral lists this ribosomal RNA (104 nucleotides) under uncultured bacterium. RNAcentral's name for it is "partial 16S ribosomal RNA". It matches the Rfam family "Bacterial small subunit ribosomal RNA", at positions 524 to 627 of the family's 1533-position model. The record is from RNAcentral.
UACGUAGAGUGCAAGCGUUGUCCGGAAUUAUUGGGCGUAAAGGGUACGCAGGCGGAUAGAUAAGUCAGAAGUGAAAUCCAAUAGCUUAACUAUUGAACUGCUUU